RNAcentral lists this ribosomal RNA (155 nucleotides) under Sowerbyella imperialis. RNAcentral describes it as "5.8S ribosomal RNA". It matches the Rfam family "5.8S ribosomal RNA". Rfam says of the family: 5.8S ribosomal RNA (5.8S rRNA) is a component of the large subunit of the eukaryotic ribosome. It is transcribed by RNA polymerase I as part of the 45S precursor that also contains 18S and 28S rRNA. Lineage: Eukaryota; Fungi; Ascomycota; Pezizomycetes; Pezizales; Pyronemataceae. RNAcentral also lists the same sequence under 1 other name. The record is from RNAcentral.
AAACUUUCAACAACGGAUCUCUUGGUUCUCGCAUCGAUGAAGAACGCAGCGAAAUGCGAUAAGUAGUGUGAAUUGCAGAAUUCAGUGAAUCAUCGAAUCUUUGAACGCACAUUGCGCCUCCUGGUAUUCCGGGAGGCAUGCCUGUUCGAGCGUCA